Molecule: ribosomal RNA, 468 nt
Filed under: uncultured bacterium
Lineage: Bacteria
Description: partial 16S ribosomal RNA
Rfam family: Bacterial small subunit ribosomal RNA
Source: RNAcentral
GACGAACGCUGGCGGCGUGCUUAACACACGCAAGUCGAACGGAAAGGCCCUGCUUUUGUGGGGUGCUCGAGUGGCUAACGGGUGAGUAACACGUGAGUAACCUGCCCUUGACUUUGGGAUAACUUCAGGAAACUGGGGCUAAUACCGGAUAGGAGCUCCUGCUGCAUGGUGGGGGUUGGAAAGUUUCGGCGGUUGGGGAUGGACUCGCGGCUUAUCAGCUUGUUGGUGGGGUAGUGGCUUACCAAGGCUUUGACGGGUAGCCGGCCUGAGAGGGUGACCGGCCACAUUGGGACUGAGAUACGGCCCAGACUCCUACGGGAGGCAGCAGUGGGGAAUAUUGCACAAUGGGCGGAAGCCUGAUGCAGCAACGCCGCGUGCGGGAUGACGGCCUUCGGGUUGUAAACCGCUUUCGCCUGUGACGAAGCGUGAGUGACGGUAAUGGGUAAAGAAGCACCGGCUAACUACGUG